AUUGAACGCUGGCGGCAGGCCUAACACAUGCAAGUCGAGCGGAUGAGUGGAGCUUGCUCCAUGAUUCAGCGGCGGACGGGUGAGUAAUGCCUAGGAAUCAGCCUGGUAGUGGGGGACAACGUUUCGAAAGGAACGCUAAUACCGCAUACGUCCUACGGGAGAAAGUGGGGGAUCUUCGGACCUCACGCUAUCAGAUGAGCCUAGGUCGGAUUAGCUAGUUGGUGAGGUAAAGGCUCACCAAGGCGACGAUCCGUAACUGGUCUGAGAGGAUGAUCAGUCACACUGGAACUGAGACACGGUCCAGACUCCUACGGGAGGCAGCAGUGGGGAAUAUUGGACAAUGGGCGAAAGCCUGAUCCAGCCAUGCCGCGUGUGUGAAGAAGGUCUUCGGAUUGUAAAGCACUUUAAGUUGGGAGGAAGGGCAGUAAGUUAAUACCUUGCUGUUUUGACGUUACCAACAGAAUAAGCACCGGCUAACUUCGUG
This 484-nucleotide ribosomal RNA is filed under the name uncultured bacterium. RNAcentral's name for it is "partial 16S ribosomal RNA". It matches the Rfam family "Bacterial small subunit ribosomal RNA", at positions 30 to 507 of the family's 1533-position model. The record is from RNAcentral.